UCGCUAGCAUGCUUAACACAUGCAAGUCGAACGAUGAUGCCCAGCUUGCUGGGCGGAUUAGUGGCGAACGGGUGAGUAAUACGUGAGUAACCUGCCCUCGACUCUGGGAUAAGCCUGGGAAACUGGGUCUAAUACUGGAUACUACCUCUUACCGCAUGGUGGGUGGUGGAAAGGGUUUUACUGGUUUUGGAUGGGCUCACGGCCUAUCAGCUUGUUGGUGGGGUAAUGGCUCACCAAGGCGACGACGGGUAGCCGGCCUGAGAGGGUGACCGGCCACACUGGGACUGAGACACGGCCCAGACUCCUACGGGAGGCAGCAGUGGGGAAUAUUGCACAAUGGGCGG
RNAcentral lists this ribosomal RNA (344 nucleotides) under actinobacterium FA6. RNAcentral's name for it is "bacterial SSU rRNA". It matches the Rfam family "Bacterial small subunit ribosomal RNA", at positions 42 to 378 of the family's 1533-position model. The record is from RNAcentral. Lineage: Bacteria; Bacillati; Actinomycetota; Actinomycetes.